AGGUACCAAUUUGAGAUUUCUAAAGAUAGCUAUAGCACUUGACUCAAGAUUUAAGAAUCUGAAGUACCUUCCAAAAUCUGAUUGGGAUGGGAUGUGGAACAUGCUUUCAGAAGCCGUAAAAGAGCAAUGCUCCAAUGCAGAAAAUACAGAACCCAAACCACCAAAAAAGAAAAUCAACUUUCUGCUGUCAUCUGACUCAGAUAAUUAAAAUGAACAUACAUCAGUCUGCUCUGC
Molecule: long non-coding RNA, 234 nt
Organism: Dermochelys coriacea (leatherback sea turtle)
Lineage: Eukaryota; Metazoa; Chordata; Testudines; Dermochelyidae
Exons: 3
Source: RefSeq, a predicted model, not a curated record